RNAcentral lists this long non-coding RNA (523 nucleotides) under Equus asinus (donkey). RNAcentral describes it as "lncRNA (ENSEASG00005031086.1)". The record is from RNAcentral. Lineage: Eukaryota; Metazoa; Chordata; Mammalia; Perissodactyla; Equidae.
CUACUCACUGGGGGAGGGGACUAUCCAAGGGCACGAGUACCAGGAGGUGACAACCAUUGGGGGCCAUCCGAGACUAGUCAUCUGAGUCUCAGCUUCUGAAGAUUCCUCCAAGGACAGCUCUAGGAGGCAGCGAGGUGCAGCGUUAUGGGCACUGGAUGUGGCGUCAGAGGAACUGAGAAUCAAACGCCAGGUCAUCUACACUCCGCUGUAUCACCAGCUGCUAUGUUGGGAGGACACUCAAGCAGCCUGGAGGGUGACCUGCGUGGUAAGGAGUAGAGCCUGCCCACAGCCACAUAGUGAACUUGGAGGUGAAUCUUCUGAGGCUGCCAACAUGUAAAUAAGCUUGGAAAUGGUCUUCAAGCCCGAAGUCAAUGGAACCCCCUUCCCAUGAAAGCGCAGCUCCGGCAAACAGCUCACAGCCUCAUGAGAGACCUUGGGUUAGAGGCAUUCGGCUGCGCUGCAUCCGAAUUUCUGACACGGGGAAGUUGUGGGAUAAUGAAGAUUCAUUGUUUCAAGCUGCUAA